AUAGGUUAAUGAGGCGAACCGGGGGAACUGAAACAUCUAAGUACCCCGAGGAAAAGAAAUCAACCGAGAUUCCCCCAGUAGCGGCGAGCGAACGGGGAGCAGCCCAGAGCCUGAAUCAGUGUGUGUGUUAGUGGAAGCGUCUGGAAAGGCGCGCGAUACAGGGUGACAGCCCCGUACACAAAAAUGCACAUGCUGUGAGCUCGAUGAGUAGGGCGGGACACGUGGUAUCCUGUCUGAAUAUGGGGGGACCAUCCUCCAAGGCUAAAUACUCCUGACUGACCGAUAGUGAACCAGUACCGUGAGGGAAAGGCGAAAAGAACCCCGGCGAGGGGAGUGAAAAAGAACCUGAAACCGUGUACGUACAAGCAGUGGGAGCACGCUUAGGCGUGUGACUGCGUACCUUUUGUAUAAUGGGUCAGCGACUUAUAUUCUGUAGCAAGGUUAACCGAAUAGGGGAGCCGAAGGGAAACCGAGUCUUAACUGGGCGUUAAGUUGCAGGGUAUAGACCCGAAACCCGGUGAUCUAGCCAUGGGCAGGUUGAAGGUUGGGUAACACUAACUGGAGGACCGAACCGACUAAUGUUGAAAAAUUAGCGGAUGACUUGUGGCUGGGGGUGAAAGGCCAAUCAAACCGGGAGAUAGCUGGUUCUCCCCGAAAGCUAUUUAGGUAGCGCCUCGUGAAUUCAUCUCCGGGGGUAGAGCACUGUUUCGGCAAGGGGGUCAUCCCGACUUACCAACCCGAUGCAAACUGCGAAUACCGGAGAAUGUUAUCACGGGAGACACACGGCGGGUGCUAACGUCCGUCGUGAAGAGGGAAACAACCCAGACCGCCAGCUAAGGUCCCAAAGUCAUGGUUAAGUGGGAAACGAUGUGGGAAGGCCCAGACAGCCAGGAUGUUGGCUUAGAAGCAGCCAUCAUUUAAAGAAAGCGUAAUAGCUCACUGGUCGAGUCGGCCUGCGCGGAAGAUGUAACGGGGCUAAACCAUGCACCGAAGCUGCGGCAGCGACACUAUGUGUUGUUGGGUAGGGGAGCGUUCUGUAAGCCUGUGAAGGUGUACUGUGAGGUAUGCUGGAGGUAUCAGAAGUGCGAAUGCUGACAUAAGUAACGAUAAAGCGGGUGAAAAGCCCGCUCGCCGGAAGACCAAGGGUUCCUGUCCAACGUUAAUCGGGGCAGGGUGAGUCGACCCCUAAGGCGAGGCCGAAAGGCGUAGUCGAUGGGAAACAGGUUAAUAUUCCUGUACUUGGUGUUACUGCGAAGGGGGGACGGAGAAGGCUAUGUUGGCCGGGCGACGGUUGUCCCGGUUUAAGCGUGUAGGCUGGUUUUCCAGGCAAAUCCGGAAAAUCAAGGCUGAGGCGUGAUGACGAGGCACUACGGUGCUGAAGCAACAAAUGCCCUGCUUCCAGGAAAAGCCUCUAAGCAUCAGGUAACAUCAAAUCGUACCCCAAACCGACACAGGUGGUCAGGUAGAGAAUACCAAGGCGCUUGAGAGAACUCGGGUGAAGGAACUAGGCAAAAUGGUGCCGUAACUUCGGGAGAAGGCACGCUGAUAUGUAGGUGAAGUCCCUCGCGGAUGGAGCUGAAAUCAGUCGAAGAUACCAGCUGGCUGCAACUGUUUAUUAAAAACACAGCACUGUGCAAACACGAAAGUGGACGUAUACGGUGUGACGCCUGCCCGGUGCCGGAAGGUUAAUUGAUGGGGUCAGCGCAAGCGAAGCUCUUGAUCGAAGCCCCGGUAAACGGCGGCCGUAACUAUAACGGUCCUAAGGUAGCGAAAUUCCUUGUCGGGUAAGUUCCGACCUGCACGAAUGGCGUAAUGAUGGCCAGGCUGUCUCCACCCGAGACUCAGUGAAAUUGAACUCGCUGUGAAGAUGCAGUGUACCCGCGGCAAGACGGAAAGACCCCGUGAACCUUUACUAUAGCUUGACACUGAACAUUGAGCCUUGAUGUGUAGGAUAGGUGGGAGGCUUUGAAGUGUGG
RNAcentral lists this ribosomal RNA (1976 nucleotides) under Escherichia coli. RNAcentral describes it as "partial 23S ribosomal RNA". It matches the Rfam family "Bacterial large subunit ribosomal RNA", at positions 166 to 2167 of the family's 2925-position model. RNAcentral also lists the same sequence under 1 other name. The record is from RNAcentral. Lineage: Bacteria; Pseudomonadati; Pseudomonadota; Gammaproteobacteria; Enterobacterales; Enterobacteriaceae.